This 380-nucleotide ribosomal RNA is filed under the name Pseudomonas sp. TTU2014-096BSC. RNAcentral's name for it is "bacterial SSU rRNA". It matches the Rfam family "Bacterial small subunit ribosomal RNA", at positions 1 to 383 of the family's 1533-position model. The record is from RNAcentral. Lineage: Bacteria; Pseudomonadati; Pseudomonadota; Gammaproteobacteria; Pseudomonadales; Pseudomonadaceae.
GAACUGAAGAGUUUGAUCAUGGCUCAGAUUGAACGCUGGCGGCAGGCCUAACACAUGCAAGUCGAGCGGAUGAGGGGAGCUUGCUUCCUGAUUCAGCGGCGGACGGGUGAGUAAUGCCUAGGAAUCUGCCUGGUAGUGGGGGACAACGUCUCGAAAGGGACGCUAAUACCGCAUACGUCCUACGGGAGAAAGCAGGGGACCUUCGGGCCUUGCGCUAUCAGAUGAGCCUAGGUCGGAUUAGCUAGUUGGUGAGGUAAUGGCUCACCAAGGCUGCGAUCCGUAACUGGUCUGAGAGGAUGAUCAGUCACACUGGAACUGAGACACGGUCCAGACUCCUACGGGAGGCAGCAGUGGGGAAUAUUGGACAAUGGGCGAAAGCC